GACGAACGCUGGCGGCGUGCUUAACACAUGCAAGUCGAACGGAAAGGCCCUGCUUUUGUGGGGUGCUCGAGUGGCGAACGGGUGAGUAACACGUGAGUAACCUGCCCUUGACUUUGGGAUAACUUCAGGAAACUGGGGCUAAUACCGGAUAGGAGCUCCUGCUGCUUGGUGGGGGUUGGAAAGUUUCGGCGGUUGGGGAUGGACUCGCGGCUUAUCAGCUUGUUGGUGUGGUAGUGGCUUACCAAGGCUUUGACGGGUAGCCGGCCUGAGAGGGUGACCGGCCACAUUGGGACUGAGGUGCGGCCCAGACUCCUACGGGAGGCAGCGGUGGGGAAUAUUGCACAAUGGGCUGAAGCCUGGUGCAGCAACGCCGCGUGGGGGAUGACGGCCUUCGGGUUGUAAACCGCUUUCGCCUGUGACGAAGCGUGAGUGACGGUAAUGGGUAAAGAAGCACCGGCUAACUACGUG
This 468-nucleotide ribosomal RNA is filed under the name uncultured bacterium. Its description in RNAcentral is "partial 16S ribosomal RNA". It matches the Rfam family "Bacterial small subunit ribosomal RNA", at positions 28 to 507 of the family's 1533-position model. The record is from RNAcentral.